This 429-nucleotide ribosomal RNA is filed under the name uncultured archaeon. Its description in RNAcentral is "bacterial SSU rRNA". It matches the Rfam family "Archaeal small subunit ribosomal RNA", at positions 474 to 903 of the family's 1478-position model. The record is from RNAcentral.
UACCAGCUCUCCGAGUGGUAGGGAUGAUUAUUGGGCUUAAAGCGUCCGUAGCCGGCUUAGCAAGUCUCCUGUUAAAUUCAGCGACCUAAUCGUUGAGCCGCGGGAGACACUACUAGGCUAGGAGGCGGGAGAGGCCGACGGUAUUCUCGGGGUAGGGAUGAAAUCCUAUAAUCCCGGGAGGACCACCAGUGGCGAAGGCUGUCGGCUAGAACGCGCUCGACGGUGAGGGACGAAAGCUGGGGGAGCGAACCGGAUUAGAUACCCGGGUAGUCCCAGCUGUAAACGAUGCGGGCUAGGUGUUGGGGUGGCUACGAGCCACUUCAGUGCCGCAGGGAAGCCAUUAAGCCCGCCGCCUGGGGAGUACGGCCGCAAGGCUGAAACUUAAAGGAAUUGGCGGGGGAGCACCACAAGGCGUGAAGCUUGCGGUUC